Molecule: regulatory RNA element, 97 nt
Organism: Streptomyces caeruleatus
Lineage: Bacteria; Bacillati; Actinomycetota; Actinomycetes; Kitasatosporales; Streptomycetaceae
Rfam family: Glycine riboswitch aptamer
About the family: This family represents the bacterial glycine riboswitch. Glycine riboswitches usually consist of two metabolite-binding aptamers domains with similar structures in tandem.
Source: Rfam
UGACCCCGUGCGGGAGAGUCCUCCGGACACCAUCCGGAGGCGCCGAAGGAGCAAAUCCUCCCCGGAAUCUCUCAGGCACACGUACCGCACGGACGAG